Passer domesticus (house sparrow) is the source of this 528-nucleotide long non-coding RNA. RefSeq lists it as uncharacterized. NCBI's taxonomy places the organism in Eukaryota, Metazoa, Chordata, Aves, Passeriformes, Passeridae. The record is from RefSeq and is a predicted model, not a curated record. The transcript is spliced from 3 exons.
UGCAAAAAUGCUCACCAAGUGUGGGACAAUGAAAAACAAUGGCAGACAGACCCUGCUGCUGCCACACUUUGCCCACAAUGCCCACACCACUCCUUCCCAGAAGCAAGAGUCCCUGUGAUGAUGCAGGUGGUGAUGAUAUAGGUGGUAUUAAUUAACAAUUUAGACAUGCCCACAGGGCUCCCUCCAGGCUUCACCCCCUUAUGGGUACUGUGAAAAAAAUUAGCUUUGUCCUGGCCAAAAGCAAGGCAAUACUUCAAUGAGCUUUGCAGGUGCUAAUGGUGUGAUGACCUGUCCAACUGUAUAGAAAAGACUGUACUUAACUCAUCUUUUGCAUCAUGUAAGGAUCUGGUGCUGUGCACAGAAAUAUAAUGAAUGCUGGCUGACCUGGGAUGAAACUCUAAAGAAAAGCUGAGGUGAGAGACAUCUUUGCUACAAAUAAAUGUUUUCUGUAAAUGUGAAAAAAGGAAGUAUCUUACUGCAAAAAGAAUGGAGGUAGGGAGCUCACCCUUUCUUGGGUGUAACUUACUA